GGCACUGGAUUUGUAGAGUCCAUCGGGUGGGACGAGAAAUGAGAUCAGCAUGGAGUCUGACUGCUAGAUAGUUAGAAGUUAAAUUAUGCUUAUGGACAUUUGAAAUUAUGUAAUUAAUCAGUACAUUUUAGUUGGUUUGGUUUAGAUACAUUAAUUAUGGAUUAUUUGGAAUUUUUGUUUAUCUUAGGCCUUGCAUGAUCUUUAGGGCACUGCUCUAGGGCUCAUGCGG
RNAcentral lists this long non-coding RNA (229 nucleotides) under Phoenix dactylifera (date palm). RNAcentral's name for it is "long non-coding RNA (PDAC_LNC004837)". Lineage: Eukaryota; Viridiplantae; Streptophyta; Magnoliopsida; Arecales; Arecaceae. The record is from RNAcentral.